GGGUUGUGAGGUUAAGCGACUAAGCGUACACGGUGGAUGCCCUGGCAGUCAGAGGCGAUGAAGGACGUGCUAAUCUGCGAUAAGCGCCGGUAAGGUGAUAUGAACCGUUAUAACCGGCGAUUUCCGAAUGGGGAAACCCAGUGUGACUCGUCACACUAUCAUUAACUGAAUCCAUAGGUUAAUGAGGCGAACCGGGGGAACUGAAACAUCUAAGUACCCCGAGGAAAAGAAAUCAACCGAGAUUCCCCCAGUAGCGGCGAGCGAACGGGGAGGAGCCCAGAGCCUGAAUCAGCAUGUGUGUUAGUGGAAGCGUCUGGAAAGGCGCGCGAUACAGGGUGACAGCCCCGUACACAAAAGCGCAUGUGCUGUGAGCUCGAUGAGUAGGGCGGGACACGUGGUAUCCUGUCUGAAUAUGGGGGGACCAUCCUCCAAGGCUAAAUACUCCUGACUGACCGAUAGUGAACCAGUACCGUGAGGGAAAGGCGAAAAGAACCCCGGCGAGGGGAGUGAAAAAGAACCUGAAACCGUGUACGUACAAGCAGUGGGAGCACAGGUUUACCUGUGUGACUGCGUACCUUUUGUAU
Molecule: ribosomal RNA, 584 nt
Filed under: Salmonella enterica
Lineage: Bacteria; Pseudomonadati; Pseudomonadota; Gammaproteobacteria; Enterobacterales; Enterobacteriaceae
Also listed under: 1 other name
Description: partial 23S ribosomal RNA
Rfam family: Bacterial large subunit ribosomal RNA
Source: RNAcentral